Molecule: non-coding RNA, 320 nt
Organism: Chrysemys picta bellii (western painted turtle)
Lineage: Eukaryota; Metazoa; Chordata; Testudines; Emydidae
Source: RefSeq, a predicted model, not a curated record
CAGCGGGAGGCCCUGGCUCUGGAGUGGAAAGAAGGAGCCCACUCCCCCCGGCCGGAGCCAGGUUCCCUUUUCCAGCGCAGGCAGCAAGAGUGUCCACCCGCCAUGGGGGCUCUGGGCAGGAUAUCAUCGUAUACUACUAACACGGCUGCUACUCUGAAGCCUCUAUGGGAGUCCAGCAAUGAGACCCUCCCCCCACGUCCUCUCCAAGCUGUAGGGGGGAGAGCUUGGGGUGCCCUGCCUGGGGGUCACAUUCCCUUGGGCCAGACCCCCUCUCCCUAGUCCCUCUGCCAAUCAAUGAGAAAUAAAGGUGUUUUCUUUGA